Molecule: ribosomal RNA, 467 nt
Filed under: uncultured bacterium
Lineage: Bacteria
Description: partial 16S ribosomal RNA
Rfam family: Bacterial small subunit ribosomal RNA
Source: RNAcentral
GACGAACGCUGGCGACGUGCUUAACACAUGCAAGUCGAACGGAAAGGCCCUGCUUUUGUGUGGUGCUCGAGUGGCGAACGGGUGAGUAACACGUGAGUAACCUGCCCUUGACUUUGGGAUAACUUCAGGAAACUGUGGCUAAUACCGGGUAGGAGCUCCUGCUGCAUGGUGGGGGUUGGAAAGUUUCGGCGGUUGGGGAUGGACUCGCGGCUUAUCAGCGUGUUGGUGGGGUAGUGGCUUACCAAGGCUUUGACGGGUAGCCGGCCUGAGAGGGUGACCGGCCAAAUCGGGCCUGAGAUACGGCCCAGACUCCUACGGGAGGGAGCAGUGGGGAAUAUUGCACAAUGGGCGGAAGCCUGAUGCAGCAACGCCGAGUGCGGGAUGACGGCCUUCGGGUUGUAAAACGCUUUCGACGUGACGAAGCGUGAGUGACGGUAAUGGGUAAAGAAGCACCGGCUAACUACGUG